RNAcentral lists this ribosomal RNA (253 nucleotides) under uncultured bacterium. RNAcentral describes it as "partial 16S ribosomal RNA". It matches the Rfam family "Bacterial small subunit ribosomal RNA", at positions 524 to 776 of the family's 1533-position model. The record is from RNAcentral.
UACGUAGGGUGCAAGCGUUAAUCGGAAUUACUGGGCGUAAAGCGUGCGCAGGCGGCUUUGCAAGACAGAUGUGAAAUCCCCGGGCUUAACCUGGGAACUGCAUUUGUGACUGCAGGGCUGGAGUGCGGCAGAGGGGGAUGGAAUUCCGCGUGUAGCAGUGAAAUGCGUAGAUAUGCGGAGGAACACCGAUGGCGAAGGCAAUCCCCUGGGCCUGUACUGACGCUCAUGCACGAAAGCGUGGGGAGCAAACAGG